RNAcentral lists this transfer RNA (77 nucleotides) under Candidatus Peregrinibacteria bacterium. Its description in RNAcentral is "tRNA-Ala". It matches the Rfam family "tRNA". Rfam says of the family: Transfer RNA (tRNA) molecules are approximately 80 nucleotides in length. The record is from RNAcentral. Lineage: Bacteria; Candidatus Peregrinibacteriota.
GGGGUCGUAGCUCAGUUGGCUAGAGCACCUGCUUUGCAUGCAGGGGGUCAGGGGUUCGAAUCCCCUCGACUCCACCA